ACGUAGGGUGCGAGCGUUAAUCGGAAUUACUGGGCGUAAAGCGUGCGCAGGCGGUUCGCUAAGACAGGUGUGAAAUCCCCGGGCUUAACCUGGGAAUGGCGCUUGUGACUGCAUCACUCGAGUACGGCAGAGGGAGGUGGAAUUCCGCGUGUAGCAGUGAAAUGCGUAGAUAUGCGGAGGAACACCGAUGGCGAAGGCAGCCUCCUGGGCCAGUACUGACGCUCAUGCACGAAAGCGUGGGGAGCAAACAG
Molecule: ribosomal RNA, 251 nt
Filed under: uncultured prokaryote
Description: partial 16S ribosomal RNA
Rfam family: Bacterial small subunit ribosomal RNA
Source: RNAcentral